GAUGAAGAACGCAGCAAAAUGUGAUAAGUAAUGUGAAUUGCAGAAUUCAGUGAAUCAUCGAAUCUUUGAACGCACAUUGCGCCCGCUGGUAUUCCGGCGGGCAUGCCUGUUCGAGCGUCAUUUCAACCCUCAAGCCCCCGGGUUUGGUGUUGGGGAUCGGCUCUGCCCUUCUGGGCGGUGCCGCCCCCGAAAUACAUUGGCGGUCUCGCUGCAGCCUCCAUUGCGUAGUAGCUAACACCUCGCAACUGGAACGCGGCGCGGCCAUGCCGUAAAACCCCAACUUCUGAAUGUUGACCUCGGAUCAGGCAGGAAUACCCGCUGAACUUAAGCAUAUCAAUAAGCGGAGGA
Molecule: unclassified non-coding RNA, 348 nt
Filed under: soil metagenome
Description: partial contains 5.8S ribosomal RNA, internal transcribed spacer 2, and large subunit ribosomal RNA
Rfam family: 5.8S ribosomal RNA (bases 1-120)
Source: RNAcentral